Molecule: ribosomal RNA, 519 nt
Filed under: uncultured eukaryote
Lineage: Eukaryota
Description: SSU rRNA
Rfam family: Eukaryotic small subunit ribosomal RNA
Source: RNAcentral
AGGGCACCACCAGGAGUGGAGCCUGCGGCUUAAUUUGACUCAACACGGGAAAACUCACCCGGCCCGGACACCGUAAGGAUUGACAGACUGAGAGCUCUUUCUUAAUUCGGUGGGUGGUGGUGCAUGGCCGUUCUUAGUUGGUGGAGCGAUUUGUCUGGUUAAUUCCGAUAACGAACGAGACUCUGGCCUAUUAAAUAGUCGGUAUAUCCAGAAAAGUUUACCGUACUUCUUAGAGGGACAAACGGCGUCUAGCCGCGUGAAAUAGAGCAAUAACAGGUCUGUGAUGCCCUUAGAUGUCCGGGGCUGCACGCGCGCUACACUGAAAGAAUCAGUAUGCGCUUUAACCUAGUCCGGAAGGAUUGGGUAACCCGAGCAAAUUCUUUCGUGCUUGGGAUAGGGAAUUGCAAUUAUUUCCCUUAAACGAGGAAUUCCCAGUAAGUGCGAGUCAUAAGCUCGCGUUGAUUACGUCCCUGCCCUUUGUACACACCGCCCGUCGCUACUACCGAUUGGAUGACUUAG